RNAcentral lists this ribosomal RNA (744 nucleotides) under uncultured bacterium. RNAcentral's name for it is "bacterial SSU rRNA". It matches the Rfam family "Bacterial small subunit ribosomal RNA", at positions 8 to 796 of the family's 1533-position model. The record is from RNAcentral.
AGAGUUUGAUCCUGGCUCAGAGCGAACGCUGGCGGCAGGCCUAACACAUGCAAGUCGAGCGGGCCCUUUCGGGGGUCAGCGGCAGACGGGUGAGUAACGCGUGGGAACGUACCCUUCGGUUCGGAACAACUCCGGGAAACUGGAGCUAAUACCGGAUACGUCCGAGAGGAGAAAGAUUUAUCGCCGAAGGAUCGGCCCGCGUCUGAUUAGCUAGUUGGUGAGGUAACGGCUCACCAAGGCGACGAUCAGUAGCUGGUCUGAGAGGAUGAUCAGCCACACUGGGACUGAGACACGGCCCAGACUCCUACGGGAGGCAGCAGUGGGGAAUAUUGGACAAUGGGCGCAAGCCUGAUCCAGCCAUGCCGCGUGAGUGAUGAAGGCCCUAGGGUUGUAAAGCUCUUUCACCCACGACGAUAAUGACGGUAGUGGGAGAAGAAGCCCCGGCUAACUUCGUGCCAGCAGCCGCGGUAAUACGAAGGGGGCUAGCGUUGCUCGGAAUCACUGGGCGUAAAGGGCGCGUAGGCGGCCGAUCAAGUCAGGGGUGAAAGCCUGUGGCUCAACCACAGAAUGGCCUUUGAUACUGUUCGGCUCGAGACCGGAAGAGGUUGGUGGAACUGCGAGUGUAGAGGUGAAAUUCGUAGAUAUUCGCAAGAACACCGGUGGCGAAGGCGGCCAACUGGUCCGGUUCUGNNGCUGAGGCGCGAAAGCGUGGGGAGCAAACAGGAUUAGAUACCCUAGUAGUCC